This 379-nucleotide unclassified non-coding RNA is filed under the name uncultured bacterium. RNAcentral's name for it is "contains 16S-23S intergenic spacer region". The record is from RNAcentral.
UCCGACUUAACGUCGGCAGUCUCGCCAGAGUGCUCAGCUUGACCUGUUAGCAACUGACGACAAGGGUUGCGCUCGUUGCGGGACUUAACCCAACAUCUCACGACACGAGCUGACGACAGCCAUGCAGCACCUGUCACUAGGCUCCCGAAGGCACCCCACCGUUUCCGGCGGGUUCCUAGGACGUCAAGCCUUGGUAAGGUUCUACGCGUAGCGUCAUAUUAAACCACGUCAUCCUCUGCUUGUGCGGGUCCCCGUCAAUUCCUUUGAGUUUUAGCCUUGCGGCCGUACUUCCCAGGCGGCAUACUUAUCGCGUUAGCUGCGUCUCACAGGGGGUCGAUACCCCAUAAGACUAGUAUGCAUCGUUUACGGCGUGGACUAC